This 388-nucleotide unclassified non-coding RNA is filed under the name soil metagenome. RNAcentral describes it as "partial contains 5.8S ribosomal RNA, internal transcribed spacer 2, and large subunit ribosomal RNA". The stretch from base 1 to 122 matches the Rfam family "5.8S ribosomal RNA", at positions 35 to 154 of the family's 154-position model. The record is from RNAcentral.
GAUGAAGAACGUAGCGAAAUGCGAUACUUGGUGUGAAUUGCAGAAUCCCGUGAACCAUCGAGUCUUUGAACGCAAGUUGCGCCCGAAGCCAUUAGGCCGAGGGCACGCCUGCCUGGGCGUCACACGUCGUUGCCCCCCCAUCUACUCCUUCGGGAUUGCGGGGGGCGGAUGAUGGCCUCCCGUGCGCCACGCCGCGCGGUUGGCAUAAAUGCCAAGUCCUCGGCGACGCACGCCACGACAAUCGGUGGUUGCGAAACCUCGGUUGCCCGUCGUGUGCGGUCGUCGCGCAUCGAGGGCUCGAAAAAAUUGCCGGGUUCCGGCUCGGCUUUCAACGCGACCCCAGGUCAGGCGGGGUUACCCGCUGAAUUUAAGCAUAUCAAUAAGCGGA